AAUAUCCAAAAUUUUUUUUUUUUUUUCCAAAUUCACUUGUUUUUAAGCUUUAACAGGACAUGCCAGAAUUCAACUAGCAGUGAUGGAAGGAGCAGAGGAAGACCAGUGACAUCUGGUUGUGGUGACAACAAAUUAUAUGAUCGCUUGCCGAAGGAUGCAUCAGGUAUCUGUGCCCUCGUGUCUUUGAUAAUGCCUGUAGUGGUUGUCCCCAUUGAAAUACAGAAUCUCAAUUGGAACAUGGAGUCCCCACUGGCGGGGCUCCUGAAGCGAGCCAAAA
This is a long non-coding RNA of Syngnathus acus (greater pipefish), 277 nucleotides long. RefSeq lists it as uncharacterized. NCBI's taxonomy places the organism in Eukaryota, Metazoa, Chordata, Actinopteri, Syngnathiformes, Syngnathidae. The transcript has 3 exons. The record is from RefSeq and is a predicted model, not a curated record.